UACGUAGGGUGCGAGCGUUAAUCGGAAUUACUGGGCGUAAAGGGUGCGCAGGCGGUUUUGUAAGUCAGAUGUGAAAUCCCCGGGCUUAACCUGGGAACUGCGUUUGAAACUACAAGACUAGAGUGUAGCAGAGGGGGGUGGAAUUCCACGUGUAGCAGUGAAAUGCGUAGAGAUGUGGAGGAACACCAAUGGCGAAGGCAGCCCCCUGGGUUAACACUGACGCUCAGGCACGAAAGCGUGGGGAGCAAACAGG
RNAcentral lists this ribosomal RNA (253 nucleotides) under uncultured bacterium. RNAcentral's name for it is "partial 16S ribosomal RNA". It matches the Rfam family "Bacterial small subunit ribosomal RNA", at positions 524 to 776 of the family's 1533-position model. The record is from RNAcentral.